UGACAGCGGAACAUAAAACCAAGCAUAAGGCCCAUCUAAGCAUGGAGCUUUGUGUACCUUCACAAACUACAUACCCAGGUAGCUGGCCCUGGUUUCAUGUUAUAAAAAUAUGGAACUUAGGGACACAUUUCAUUAAGAGCAGCACUACUAAAAGUGAAGAGAAUCAGAGAACAAUUAUAAAGAAGUGAAAAUAAAUUUCUGGAAAACAGGACAUGAAUGAAAGCAUGCUGACAAAUGAAGCAGACAGAAACUGCAGGCCAAAAUAAUUCUGCAGCAGAACUGGGAAUUGAUUUUCUGGAUGUGGGGCUGGCAGGUGCAGUGUGAGAAGGUGAGAUGGUAAAUCACAACUGAAUUAGUUGGCACCUCCAAAUCACCAUUUCCCUCUACCAGGGAAGGCACCCUUGUGAUUGAUUACAUGCAGGCAUACAACUGGGUUCUCCACUUCUAAAGAAAUUUAACAAACAGCCCAGGGAAAAUUAAUGCGGACCUAGGAGGGAAACAAAUGCACAUCAACAGCAGAAGAGGAAAGAAAGCACACUAGCUCUCUAGAAAAAUCAGCUCCGACCUUCAUGGCUGAAUAUGAAAGGAUGACCAAGAAGCGCCACACAGAGGACGAUUUUCAGCAUGAGUAGGAAAAGGCUAGCUAAACUAACAGGAAAGGGACACAAGGAAACACAAUUUAGUGAACAGAAGAGAGGUUUAAAACUUGUUAUUCUCAGAGAUAGUUGAGAGAGAGGUAAGGGCAUUUGUGAAACAGAAGCAGGGUGCUAUUAAACAAGAAAGAGGUCUUAGAGGGUAUUUUUGGUUAACAGCUAACGUAAUUUUUGAAAAUUUAAUAGAUUUGGUAGAUAAAAAUGAGAUAAUUUCCCAGAAUAUUAAGUUAAAAAGAUGAAGAAAUAUACAAGAAAAAAAAGAUAACUAUAGGAAAUUGGUCUUGGAGGCUGCCAUAUUAACUAAUAAGAUUUCCAGAAAGACUGGUAAAUCUGAGAAAAAGGUAGGAAAGAAAUUUCAAAGAAAUUACAAAAAUUUUUUUCAGAGAGGAAGAGAGCAAUGAAUCUUGAGAUGAAAAGGACCAAAUGAGUGCCAAACAGGUAAAAUGAAGAAGAUCUCCAAUCAGAGAUAUUACGGGGAAAUUUCAUAACAUGAAGAAUAUAAAGUAAUCUACAAAUGCUUUCCAAGAGAAAACAAUAGUUCCCUGCAAGGACUUGAGAAGGAGACCACAGACCACCACGGAGUUCUUGUCUUGGAGGAGCUUAUAAUACAGCGGGAGGCACAAUUGUGAGGGAGAGAUUAAUGACAAGCAGAGCCACAAUUACAGAAGCAGGACGCUGAGAGGCAAUCUACUUCUACCCUCGCUAGGUGCCAAUGUCAGCUACAACGCCCCUCCGCAGACACCUCCGAAACUGCCCCGCUUCCGCCCACAAUACUCUGCGCUUCGACCUACAAACUGAGCUUGCGCCAAGAUUAGUGCGCACGCGCCAACCCCAGCCCUAUCGGAAUUUCAAGUCAGAGGAUUCCAGGGGGCGGCCUAACCUAGGGGUGGGGCGGAGGCUCGCCCUAAAGCCACGUGAACUGUUCUCCUAAUUUGGGAAGGGUCCGGGGUGGGCGGGGCGUGGAGCGGCGAGCGGCGCCGAGUGCACCGGCAUCGAGCCCCGGGACAGGGCGUGUGCUCGUGCUGAGGCGCGCUGGGCUCUGUCCCGCUGCAUCUCUGGCACCUGAGUUGCGCCCUGGCAGAGCCCGUGCUUCCCGCGCCCCACCUGUCAGGAGCUGCCUUCCGCGAUAAUGUCCAAGUCUCUGAAAAAGCUGGUGGAGGGGAGCCGAGAGAAGAACCAGCCGGAAGUGGACAUGAGUGUCCGGGCAUUUUCAGCAUGCUGGAUGUCAGCGCUGCUGGGGCAGCGCCUUCCCUGGAAGGAGUGGGAAAGGUUUAUACGUUUUCCCUGCCCAUCGUGGUGUGCGAGGUUAUAAUGGUUUACAGCCCACCCCCUGCUUGUAAACAUCACUUGUCAAGAGCUUAGCUCAGAAAGUUUGCAGUCCGACCCGAAUGGAAAAUGGACGAGAGUCUAGGGUGGCGAUUCAUUUGCAUGGGAAGAGAAUGGUUAUUGCAUCUCCAGCUUUUCCUUCCUCAUUCUUAAUUUCCUUAAAGAAAUUUGCUGUAGAAGCCUCUCCCGCCACAGCCGCUGGCUCCACCUGAAUGGUAAAGUUGCUUCUGAAGCACCACCCUGUGAUGAGCUUCCAGAGGAGCAGAGAUCCCAUCGGUGGCCAGGGAGACUUUUGUCCAUUUCUUUAAAUCUUUUGUGAUUUUUUAAUCUCCAAGUUUACUAUUCUCUGGGUGGUCUAACGUUUGUCGGUUUGUUUUUCUUUUCAGAGUAGAAUAAAAUAUCUCUCAGAUAAGUCUGUCUCCCUCUGAGGGACUGGCCUCUCUAACGGACCAUGCAAAAUAAUCAAAAAACAUAAUCAUGUUAUCUGGAAGAGCUGCUCCAAAACCCUGGUAAAUCUGGAUGUUGUCUUCCCUGUUGGGAAUUUUUAUCAGCAUAGCCUGUCUUUGGGGGAAAGAGAGAGGAGCUGUGAAGACUGUCCUUUUAGCUAUAAUAUUUAUUAAGACCUGUUAUUGUUUUACUCUGAGUUGCAAGUACAUGCCCAGCUUUGUGUUUGCAAACAGAUAGUGUCUUGGCCGGGGAAGCCCUUUUCUCUUUACUGCCUCCAGCUAACUGCCCACCCCCCCACUUGUCACUCACAGCUUGUUGAAAGAAGGAAUGCCUUCUCUGUCCUCAGGACUACAUUCUUGUGGUGCUUCCUCUGAGAAGCUCCCCUGGUGCUAAAUUUUAACCCAUCAUCCCAGCUAGCCUGGAAUGUGUCUCCUCUGGGCCUGGUGUGCAUACGUCUGCUAUCUCUUUGCUUGGGAAGAGUUUAUCGAAGAAGGAUGCAGUUUCUUUUAGUGAAGAAUUCUGGUGAGCUGCAGUAGGAAGCAUAGCCGGUGAGGGGGACCAUAUCCGACCCCUUCCCACUUCCCAGAGGGAAAGCAGUUCACAGCUAUCAGGUAUGUGAUUGAACUGUUCAGCGUUCUAUUUUGGUUUUUGAACAAGGUAAACACUGAAAAUAUUUCAUCCAGACAGGAAAUAAAAAUAAAAAUGGUGACCCCUUUCAUGUAACUGAACUAAUUACCUUUUACUCUUUUUCAGUCAUUUUGACAUUUCUGCUCUAGUGACUUGGCCUCUCUUUUGUGUCUAGGUUUUGCGUUGCUAGCUGUGUAACCUGGGGCAAGUCAGUUAACCUCUGAGCCUCAGGUGUCUCAUCUGUAAAAUGGGAAUAAGAAGAGUAGCUACCUCAUAGAAUUGCUGUAAGUCAUUAGCUGUGAAGUGCCUGGUAUACUAUCUGGCACAUCUGAGUCCAGUCAGGCUGCUGUAAUAGGGCACCAUCAACUGGGGGCCUUAUAAACAGCAUCUGGUUCUCAUAGUUCUGGAGGCUGGAAGUCCAGGAUCGAGACACGGGCAGAUUCAGGGUCUGGUGAAGAACCCACUUUCUGGUUCACAGACUUCUUGCUGUGUCCUCACAUGGCUGAGAGGUCAUCUCUCUCCAGUCUCUUAUAAGGGCACUAAUACCAUUCAUGAGACUCCACCUUCAUGAUCUAAUCACUUCCCAAAGCUCCACUUCUCAAGAAACCAUCCCAAAUGGGGGUUAGGUUUCAAUAUAGGAAUUUUGGGUGUGGGGGCACUUUCAGUCUAUAGCAUGGCACAUACCAGCCUUAAUAUUCACUAUUAGUAUUUUUAAAUUGUUUUGUCUAUGAUUGUGAACAAAUGCAAAAUAUUAUCUCUAGUUUUUAGAAUACUCACGAAUGGAUUUCUCCAGCGGCUUUGCCUGCUUGUCUCACUCUUUGAUCAUGUCUGGGCACCUGAUGCCUCCCUCCUCACCAUACUGAGGAUUCAAGUUAGAUGAACAUGCCCAGUGUGACAAAGUCAGGAAGAAAACAGUGGCUUUACAUGGCAAGUUCAGAGCCAUGAACAGUGUGUGAGGUGCCUAGGGGGAAAGCAGGGCAUUUGACAAUAUUUUAAUUGUGAUGUGCUUAUGUUUGUUGAGAAGGUCAGACAGGCAU
Manis javanica (Malayan pangolin) is the source of this 4090-nucleotide non-coding RNA. NCBI's taxonomy places the organism in Eukaryota, Metazoa, Chordata, Mammalia, Pholidota, Manidae. The record is from RefSeq and is a predicted model, not a curated record.